GCCUGUGUAGCUCAGCUGGCUAGAGCAGCUGAUUUGUAAUCAGCAGGUCGGGGGUUCGAGUCCCUCCACAGGCUCAA
RNAcentral lists this transfer RNA (77 nucleotides) under Carboxylicivirga sp. M1479. RNAcentral's name for it is "tRNA-Thr". It matches the Rfam family "tRNA". Rfam says of the family: Transfer RNA (tRNA) molecules are approximately 80 nucleotides in length. Lineage: Bacteria; Pseudomonadati; Bacteroidota; Bacteroidia; Marinilabiliales; Marinilabiliaceae. The record is from RNAcentral.